Molecule: ribosomal RNA, 447 nt
Filed under: uncultured bacterium
Lineage: Bacteria
Description: bacterial SSU rRNA
Rfam family: Bacterial small subunit ribosomal RNA
Source: RNAcentral
UGGGGAAUCUUGGACAAUGGGCGCAAGCCUGAUCCAGCCAUGCCGCGUGAGUGACGAAGGCCUUAGGGUUGUAAAGCUCUUUUGCCGGGGACGAUAAUGACGGUACCCGGAGAAUAAGUCCCGGCUAACUUCGUGCCAGCAGCCGCGGUAAUACGAAGGGGACUAGCGUUGUUCGGAAUUACUGGGCGUAAAGCGCACGUAGGCGGAAUUGUCAGUCAGAGGUGAAAUCCCGGGGCUCAACCUCGGAACUGCCUUUGAUACAGCAAUUCUCGAGUCCGAUAGAGGUGAGUGGAAUUCCUAGUGUAGCGGUGAAAUGCGUAGAUAUCAAGAGGAACACCUGAGGUGAAGACGGGUUGCUGGGCUGACACUGACGCUGAGGCGCGAAAGCCAGGGGAGCAAACGGGAUUAGAUACCCCAGUAGUCCCUGAGCGGGCUGGCAAGGCGCAU